CCCUUAGAUGUCCGGGGCCGCACGCGCGCUACACUGAAGGAAUCAGCGUGGCUUUCUCCCUGACCCGAAAGGGUUGGGAAACCCGUUGAAUCUCCUUCGUGAUAGGGAUUGGGGCUUGAAAUUGUUCCCCAUGAACGAGGAAUUCCCAGUAAGCGCGAGUCAUAAGCUCGCGUUGAUUACGUCCCUGCCCUUUGUACACACCGCCCGUCGCUACUACCGAUUGAACGGUUUAGUGAGGGCCUCGGAUUGGUCUCGGCCCGCUCUGUACCGGGCGGCGCCGUUGGUCGAGAAGACGCUCGAACUUGAUCGUUUAGAGGAAGUAAAAGUCGUAACA
This 334-nucleotide ribosomal RNA is filed under the name uncultured eukaryote. RNAcentral's name for it is "partial 18S ribosomal RNA". It matches the Rfam family "Eukaryotic small subunit ribosomal RNA", at positions 1470 to 1796 of the family's 1831-position model. The record is from RNAcentral.